GGGAUGACUGCGGAUCACAUGCUGAUAGAGCCAGGACUUAAACCCUGGUUUGUCUGACUGUAGCCCGACGUCUCUCACCUUAACUGUGCAAGGACAAGCUAUGCCACCUCCCCCACAGAAUACAGCAAAAGAGAAUCUCCCACCAAUGUCUGACAUCUCCUUAAUCCAUUUCCCAGGACAGACAGUCAUCCACAGUGCUCUCCAUGAAGCAUGCAUGCAUCUGCUAAGCAUAAACCACUCUGGGCCACUGAACGUGACACACAGGACCUGGGUGUAUGCCUCUGGUUCAUGGAGCCACAGCCUUCACAGAAAGGAUUCCACAGCGGAAAGUCAUCAGCAAAACAACUCAAGGAGUGAAAUAAGACCAAUCAGAUGUCCGAUCCUGUGGCUAGCUACCGUUAACCAUUAACGGGGUGUCUGGUAUGAACCUCAGAGCAGUCCCUGCAGAUGGGUACUGAGUAUAACCCCCGACUUGAAGAUGGAACAGCGGAGGCUCAAAGAAGCAGCAUGACUUUCUCAAGGUCACGUGGUGGCAGAGGUGGGGCCUUCAACACGGAUUUGCUCACUCCUGAGCCUGGACUUUUAAUCUUACCGCCCCGUGUGGUGUCCUCUGUUCCCUGGUUGCAUGUGUGUGUAUGUUUGUGUUUUGUUUAUGUGUAAGCUUGUGUAUGUGCAUGUUUGUAAGUGUGUGUGUAUUUUUUGCGUGUAUGUAUGUUUGUGUGUGCAUGUGUAUGUGUGUGUGUGUAUUGGGGAAGGGAGACAGAGAAGCCCAUUUAAGGUAAGUAGCAAGACAUGAAAUUUUCGCUUUAAUAACCCUCUUCCAAAUUGUAUCAAGUGGCUGUAAUUCCUGCGGCAGCCCUGACAGUGAGAGUGGGGUGGGCAGGAAUUGUGCAGGGAGGACGAAGAGGUAGGGGCAGAGGGGGGCGUGGCAGUGAGGGAUGAGUUUGGGUCAAGGACUGGCUAGGAGCCUGCAUCGCAGCCCGGGCGCCUUUGGAACUCCUCCACCUUUGUGUCUAACUCAGUGCCUCGCAAGCAAAUGUUCGUGAAAUGUCAAGAGCUGAACCAAACCGAGUGAGAUCAGUGCAACCUCUUCACCCAGCCCCCCUCAGUCUUCUCCCAUCACUGCCUGUGCCCUCUCCCUUCCCUCUCCCUGCCUGCUUUUCUUGGGUGCCACCAGUUUCAUGCCACAACCAAAGGACAUUUAAAAAAAAAGAUUUAUUUAUUUGAAAGGCAGAGUGGCAGAUUUAGAUAGAUAGAAAGAGGAUUGCAGGACUGAUCAAUAGAUAAAAUCUCUGUCUACUGGCUGAUUCCCUAAAUGCCUACAACAGCCAGGACUGGGCCAGGCCAAAGCUGGGAGCCAGGAACUCCUUCUGGAUCUCCUAUGUGGGUGGCAGGGACUCAAGGAUUUGAGCCAUUAUCUGCAGUCUCCCAGGCACAUUAGCAGGAAGCUCAGUUGGAAGCGGAGUAGCUGGAACCAUAACCAGGAACUCUAAAGUAGGGUGUGAGCAUCUGAAGCAGUCUUAACCUUACUGCCACCUGCCCCAGGACAGUUCUUAGUGGAGCUAUGUCAGGGCUCUUUGGUUAUGUCCCCGGUUAGGAAAGUGAUGCUGGUGAGACAAACACGCACAGAGCUCUCUGGGUGCCAGCCGCUGUUCUCAGCACUUUCAAUGUAUCAAUUUAUGGGAUUCUCUGUGAAGUAAGCAUGCUUACGAUCCACACCUUACAGAUGAGGAAGCUGAGGCACAGAGCUUAGGUAACCUGCUGAGGUCACUUGUGAAUUAGAGACCAAGUCCUUACUGAAACCCAGGUGAUCUGGCUUUAGUGUGUGUGCUCCUAACUACACCAAAUGGUCUGUUAGAAAGAGCUAGGGGGCACUGGUGCUGUGGCAUAGUGGAUAAAGGCACCGCCUGCAGGGCCAGUAACCCACAUGGGUGCUGGUUCGAGUCCUGGCUUCCCCACUUUCAAUCCAGCUCUCUGCUAUGGCCUGGAAAAACAGUGGAAGAUGGCCCAAGUCCUUGGGCCCUUGCACCUGCAUGGGCGACCCAGAGGAAGCUCUAGGUUCCUGACUUCAGAUCGGCCCAGCUGCUCCGGCCAUUGCAACCAUUUGGGUACUGAACCAGCAGAUGGGAGAUCCCUCUCUCUCUCUCUCUCUCUCUCUCUCUCUCUGCCUCUGCCUUUCAAAUAAAUAAACAAAUCUAAGAAAAAAAAAAAAAAAC
RNAcentral lists this long non-coding RNA (2216 nucleotides) under Oryctolagus cuniculus (rabbit). RNAcentral describes it as "lncRNA (ENSOCUG00000038900.1)". The record is from RNAcentral. Lineage: Eukaryota; Metazoa; Chordata; Mammalia; Lagomorpha; Leporidae.